RNAcentral lists this ribosomal RNA (637 nucleotides) under uncultured bacterium. Its description in RNAcentral is "bacterial SSU rRNA". It matches the Rfam family "Bacterial small subunit ribosomal RNA", at positions 202 to 842 of the family's 1533-position model. The record is from RNAcentral.
UAAAGAUUCAUCGCUGAUAGAUAGGCAUGCGUUCCAUUAGGCAGUUGGCGGGGUAACGGCCCACCAAACCGACGAUGGAUAGGGGUUCUGAGAGGAAGGUCCCCCACAUUGGUACUGAGACACGGACCAAACUCCUACGGGAGGCAGCAGUGAGGAAUAUUGGUCAAUGGGCGUAAGCCUGAACCAGCCAAGUCGCGUGAGGGAUGAAGGUUCUAUGGAUCGUAAACCUCUUUUAUAAGGGAAUAAAGUGCGGGACGUGCCCCGUUUUGUAUGUACCUUAUGAAUAAGGAUCGGCUAACUCCGUGCCAGCAGCCGCGGUAAUACGGAGGAUCCGAGCGUUAUCCGGAUUUAUUGGGUUUAAAGGGUGCGUAGGCGGCCUUUUAAGUCAGCGGUGAAAGUCUGUGGCUCAACCAUAGAAUUGCCGUUGAAACUGGGAGGCUUGAGUAUGUUUGAGGCAGGCGGAAUGCGUGGUGUAGCGGUGAAAUGCUUAGAUAUCACGCAGAACCCCGAUUGCGAAGGCAGCCUGCCAAGCCAUGACUGACGCUGAUGCACGAAAGCGUGGGGAUCAAACAGGAUUAGAUACCCUGGUAGUCCACGCAGUAAACGAUGAUCACUAGCUGUUUGCGAUACACAGUAA